UUAAGCAUAUCAGUAAGCGGAGGAAAAGAAACUAACAAGGAUUCCCUCAGUAACGGCGAGUGAAGCGGGAAGAGCCCAGCACCGAAUCCCCCGGGGCGUGCCUCCGGCGGGAAGUGUGGUGUUUGGGACGCCGGUCGGCGGCGGUUCCCUGUGCCCAAGUCCUUCUGAUCGGGGCCUUUCCCAGAGCGGGUGUCAGGCCUUUGGCGGCACGGGAGCCUCCGUCCCUUCGAGCGUCCUAAGAGUCGGGUUGUUUGGGAAUGCAGCCCUAAGCGGGUGGUAAACUCCAUCUAAGGCUAAAUAUCAGCACGAGUCCGAUAGCGAACAAGUACCGUGAGGG
Molecule: ribosomal RNA, 337 nt
Filed under: Montfortula rugosa
Lineage: Eukaryota; Metazoa; Mollusca; Gastropoda; Lepetellida; Fissurellidae
Description: eukaryotic LSU rRNA
Rfam family: Eukaryotic large subunit ribosomal RNA
Source: RNAcentral